GGGGCUGACCUGGCUUCGACGGGUGACGGAGUUGGAUCAGGGUACGCCGAGCACCAGUUCGCCCGUAAAUCCACUGGAAACAAAGCAACCGCGAACGAUAACCGUACGCCCUCGCCGCUUAAAACCGGUGAGCUCGCAAACAGUUGGCCGAGGGCUGGGUCUGAGGGGUAACCUGGAAGACUGCGAGGUCAUACACAUUGGCUCGCCCGGCGCCGGGUCACCCGGCACAGGGCUAAAUCAAGCGACUCGAGGUGACGGCAGCGCAAGCCGCUGCGCGGCCGGCACCCUCUAAAACCAAAUCAGCCAGCUGCUACGUAGAUCCGCUCGACGAUGGCUUGCGGACGGGGGUUCGACUUCCAGCCCACCA
Molecule: transfer-messenger RNA, 367 nt
Filed under: Piscinibacter sp.
Lineage: Bacteria; Pseudomonadati; Pseudomonadota; Betaproteobacteria; Burkholderiales; Sphaerotilaceae
Rfam family: transfer-messenger RNA
About the family: Bacterial tmRNA, also known as 10Sa RNA or SsrA, is named for its dual tRNA and mRNA-like properties. Its role is to liberate the mRNA from a stalled ribosome. To accomplish this part of the tmRNA is used as a reading frame that ends in a translation stop signal.
Source: RNAcentral